RNAcentral lists this ribosomal RNA (227 nucleotides) under uncultured bacterium. RNAcentral's name for it is "partial 16S ribosomal RNA". It matches the Rfam family "Bacterial small subunit ribosomal RNA", at positions 524 to 749 of the family's 1533-position model. The record is from RNAcentral.
UACAGAGGUCUCAACCGUUGUUCGGAUUCAUUGGGCGUAAAGGGUGCGUAGGCGGUCGUGUAAGUCGGAUGUGAAAUCUCAGGGCUCAACCCUGAAACUGCAUUCGAUACUGCAUGGCUAGGGUACUGGAGAGGAGACUGGAAUUUACGGUGUAGCAGUGAAAUGCGUAGAUAUCGUAAGGAAGACCAGUGGCGAAGGCGAGUCUCUGGACAGUUACUGACAGCUGA